AAGUCGUAACAAGGUUUCCGUAGGUGAACCUGCGGAAGGAUCAUUAAAAGAUAUGGCAUGUCCCUUGUGGAUAUUACCAAUCAACCCAUUCUGAGUACCUUACCUGUUGCUUCCACACAGUGUCUGUGCAUUAGUACUGACAUCCUGAUGAUAGGCGAAAGCCUAUCGGAGGGAGAUGUGUGGAGGGUAUACUUAUAAACUCUUGCAUUACCAUGUAUUCUGUCUGAUAAUGUUUAAUAUAAACUAUUAAAACUUUCAACAACGGAUCUCUUGGUUCUC
This 279-nucleotide unclassified non-coding RNA is filed under the name Pseudaleuria sp. RNAcentral describes it as "partial internal transcribed spacer region". The stretch from base 1 to 46 matches the Rfam family "Eukaryotic small subunit ribosomal RNA", at positions 1786 to 1831 of the family's 1831-position model. Lineage: Eukaryota; Fungi; Ascomycota; Pezizomycetes; Pezizales; Pyronemataceae. The record is from RNAcentral.